GACGAACGCUGGCGGCGUGCUUAACACAUGCAAGUCGAACGGAAAGGCCCUGCUUUUGUGGGGUGCUCGAGUGGCGAACGGGUGAGUAACACGUGAGUAACCUGCCCUUGACUUUGGGAUAACUUCAGGAAACUGGGGCUAAUACCGGAUAGGAGCUCCUGCUGCAUGGUGGGGGUUGGAAAGGUUCGGCGGUUGGGGAUGGACUCGCGGCUUAUCAGCUUGUUGGUGGGGUAGUGGCUUACCAAGGCUUUGACGGGUAGCCGGCCUGGGAGGGUGACCGGCCACAUGGGGACUGAGAGACGGACCAGACGCCUACGGGAGGCAGCAGUGGGGAAUAUUGCGCAAUGGGCGGAAGCCUGAUGCAGCAACGCCGCGUGCGGAAUGACGGCCUUCGGGUUGUGAACCGCUUUCGCCUGUGACGAAGCGUGAGUGACGGUAAUGGGUAAAGAAGCACCGGCUAACUACGUG
This 468-nucleotide ribosomal RNA is filed under the name uncultured bacterium. RNAcentral's name for it is "partial 16S ribosomal RNA". It matches the Rfam family "Bacterial small subunit ribosomal RNA", at positions 28 to 507 of the family's 1533-position model. The record is from RNAcentral.